Molecule: long non-coding RNA, 993 nt
Filed under: Homo sapiens (human)
Lineage: Eukaryota; Metazoa; Chordata; Mammalia; Primates; Hominidae
Description: HSALNT0313266
Source: RNAcentral
UCGUGAUCCACCGGCCUCGGCCUCCCAAAGUGCUGGGAUUACAGACGUGAGCCACUGCGCCCGGCUGUGUCCUAUCAUUUCAACUUGGUAAAGACUUCGCCUGGCUGAUGGAGAUCACAGUUAAGUGGGAAUGAAAACAGGUUCUGUGUCCAUGCCAAGUCUACAGUUGGGUUAAUAGUUGGCAAGUCUGCUACCAGGGCCACAUAUGGUUGUGGCUUCCACCAGGCCUAUGAGCAGUACUGCCUCCAGACCAAGGGAAAGCUGGACUGGAGUUGGGUCAUGGAACUGCUUUAAAGACCAUAGUUGGGUCCAAGGUCUGCAGGUCCUAUUACUAGGAGCACACACAGGUGUGGCUCCCAAGUCCUUUGGUGGAAGUGGCUGAAGGCAGCAGUGUGUGGACUUACUUCUCAAAGAGGCACUCCUUGGCCUUGGAUCUAACAAUUGUUUUAUAACCAGCUAUUUGGAUCCCAAGACUCUCACAAAGUCAAAUUUGUCUGUUUAUGCCACCAAAUAUUUGUUUCUCUGGGACGACACAGGCUUGGGACCCCCUCUUCUGCCAUCCUGCUGAUGGCAUUCUCAUUACUUUUUUAAAAAAUUUGUAUUCUACUGAACUUAUGUUUACUUUUUGUAACCCGCAUUAAAAAAAUUUAUUGCAUUCCUUACCCUAUUGCAUUAUUUUCUAUGUAUAUUUGUAAGAGAUCAUUUGAUUUCCUGACCCAUCUUCUGUGAAAAGAACUAUAUUUAAAUAUAUAAUAAUCCAUAAACUUUGCACAAUUUUUAAUUACUUGAAAAUUAAUCAACUUUCCUUCAUAAGUUGAUAAUAUGGUUAUGAAUUGUCUGAGUGCUAUUGUACAGGAGAUGUGGCAGAUUUCAAUACUGUUGAAAUAUUCACUGCCCCUUCUCAGCCAAUUAUAAUUUCCUGCUCCAAGAUCUCAAACUUUGCCAUGCAACUUGUUUUAUUCUAUAAAAUGUGAAUAAAAGUAACUUGUUCCA